RNAcentral lists this ribosomal RNA (1474 nucleotides) under Cratosilis sicula. RNAcentral's name for it is "SSU rRNA". It matches the Rfam family "Eukaryotic small subunit ribosomal RNA", at positions 394 to 1774 of the family's 1831-position model. Lineage: Eukaryota; Metazoa; Arthropoda; Insecta; Coleoptera; Cantharidae. The record is from RNAcentral.
GCCUGAGAAACGGCUACCACAUCCAAGGAAGGCAGCAGGCGCGCAAAUUACCCACUCCCGGCACGGGGAGGUAGUGACGAAAAAUAACGAUACGGGACUCAUCCGAGGCCCCGUAAUCGGAAUGAGUACACUUUAAAUCCUUUAACGAGGAUCAAUUGGAGGGCAAGUCUGGUGCCAGCAGCCGCGGUAAUUCCAGCUCCAAUAGCGUAUAUUAAAGUUGUUGCGGUUAAAAAGCUCGUAGUCGAAUUUGUGUCCCGCGCCGUCGGUUCGCCGCUCGCGGCGUUUAAUUGGCGUGUUGCGGGACGUCAUGCCGGUGGGCUUAGCUCGUCUCGUUCGCGCGAGUCGGGCGGUCCAACUUUUAUACCCGUCGCGGUGCUCUUCGUUGAGUGUCGAGGCGGGCCGGCACGUUUACUUUGAACAAAUUAGAGUGCUUAAAGCAGGCUAAAAUAUUGCCUGGAUAUUGUGUGCAUGGAAUAAUAAAAUAGGAUCUCGGUUCUAUUUUGUUGGUUUUCGGAACUCCGAGGUAAUGAUUAAUAGGAACGGAUGGGGGCAUUCGUAUUGCGACGUUAGAGGUGAAAUUCUUGGAUCGUCGCAAGACGGACUAAAGCGAAAGCAUUUGCCAAAAACGCUUUCAUUGAUCAAGAACGAAAGUUAGAGGUUCGAAGGCGAUCAGAUACCGCCCUAGUUCUAACCAUAAACGAUGCCAGCCAGCGAUCCGCCGAAGUUCCUCCGAUGACUCGGCGGGCAGCUUCCGGGAAACCAAAGCUUUUGGGUUCCGGGGGAAGUAUGGUUGCAAAGCUGAAACUUAAAGGAAUUGACGGAAGGGCACCACCAGGAGUGGAGCCUGCGGCUUAAUUUGACUCAACACGGGAAACCUCACCAGGUCCGGACACCGGAAGGAUUGACAGAUUGAGAGCUCUUUCUUGAUUCGGUGGGUGGUGGUGCAUGGCCGUUCUUAGUUGGUGGAGCGAUUUGUCUGGUUAAUUCCGAUAACGAACGAGACUCUGGCCUACUAAAUAGGCGAUUUCGACAUCUCGAAGGCCCGCCGGCCGACGUUCGCGCGUCGCGCCGUGCGCGGUUUUUACUGUCGACGCUAUAUAAAUUCUUCUUAGAGGGACAGGCGACUUCUAGUCGCACGAGAUUGAGCAAUAACAGGUCUGUGAUGCCCUUAGAUGUCCUGGGCCGCACGCGCGCUACACUGAAGGAAUCAACGUGUCUUCCUUGGCCGAGAGGUCCGGGUAACCCGCUGAAACUCCUUCGUGCUAGGGAUUGGGGCUUGCAAUUGUUCCCCAUGAACGAGGAAUUCCCAGUAAGCGCGGAUCAUAAGUUCGCGUUGAUUACGUCCCUGCCCUUUGUACACACCGCCCGUCGCUACUACCGAUUGAAUGAUUUAGUGAGGUCUUCGGAUCGGUACGCGUUGACGCCUUUUAGGCGUUGCCGGUGUUACCGAAAAGAUGACCAAACUUGAUCAUUU